AUUUUGACCUCGGAUCAGGUAGGGAUACCCGCUGAACUUAAGCAUAUCAAUAAGCGGAGGAAAAGAAACCAACAGGGAUUGCCCUAGUAACGGCGAGUGAAGCGGCAACAGCUCAAAUUUGAAAUCUGGCUCUUUCAGGGUCCGAGUUGUAAUUUGUAGAGGGUGCUUUGGAGUUGACUGUGGUCUAAGUUCCUUGGAACAGGACGUCGCAGAGGGUGAGAAUCCCGUAUGUGGCCGCCAGUCUUCGCCGUGUAAAGCCCCUUCGACGAGUCGAGUUGUUUGGGAAUGCAGCUCUAAAUGGGAGGUAAAUUUCUUCUAAAGCUAAAUAUUGACCAGAGACCGAUAGCGCACAAGUAGAGUGAUCGAAAGAUGAAAAGCACUUUGGAAAGAGAGUCAAAAAGCACGUGAAAUUGUUGAAAGGGAAGCGCUUGCAGCCAGACUUGCCUGUAGUUGCUCAUCCGGGCUUUUGCCCGGUGCACUCUUCUAUAGGCAGGCCAGCAUCAGUCCUGGCGGUCGGAUAAAUGCCUGCUGAAUGUACCUCUCCUCGGGGAGGACUUAUAGCGGUGGGCGGCAUACGACCAGCCGGGAUUGAGGUCCGCGCAUCUGCUAGGAUGCUGGCGUAAUGGCUGUAAGCGGCCCGUCUUGAAACACGGACCAAGGAGUCUAACAUCUAUGCGAGUGUUUGGGUGUCAAGCCCGAGCGCGUAAUGAAAGUGAACGGAGGUGGGAACCCCUCGGGGCGCACCAUCGACCGAUCCUGAUGUCUUCGGAUGGAUUUGAGUAAGAGCAUAGCUGUUGGGACCCGAAAGAUGGUGAACUAUGCCUGAAUAGGGUGAAGCCAGAGGAAACUCUGGUGGAGGCUCGCAGCGGUUCUGACGUGCAAAUCGAUAGUCAAAUUUGGGCAUAGGGGCGAAAGACUAAUCGAACUAUCUAGUAGCUGGUUCCUGCCGAAGUUUCCCUCAGGAUAGCAGUAACGUUUUCAGUUUUAUGAGGUAAAGCGA
RNAcentral lists this ribosomal RNA (1000 nucleotides) under uncultured Ascomycota. RNAcentral describes it as "eukaryotic LSU rRNA". It matches the Rfam family "Eukaryotic large subunit ribosomal RNA", at positions 1 to 1016 of the family's 3401-position model. The record is from RNAcentral. Lineage: Eukaryota; Fungi; Ascomycota.